CUGGUUGAUCCUGCCAGUAGUCAUAUGCUUGUCUCAAAGACUAAGCCAUGCAUGUCUAAGUAUAAGUAUUAUACAGCGAAACUGCGAAUGGCUCAUUAAAACAGUUAUAGUUUAUUUGACACUCAAAUCUAUAUGGAUACCCGUGGUAAUUCUAGAGCUAAUACAUGCUGUUGAGCCCGACUUCUUGGAAGGGCGGUAUUUAUUAGAUAACAAGCCAAUAUUCCUCUGGUCUAUUGUGGUGACUCAUGAUAACUGUCUCGGAUCGCAAGGCCUAUGGCCGCGAUAAGUCAUUCAAGUUUCUGCCCCAUCAGCUUUCGAUGGUAGUGUAUUGGACUACCAUGGUGUUUACGGGUAAAAGAGGAUUAGGGUUCGAUUCCGGAGAGGGAGCCUGAGAAACGGCUACCACAUCUAAGGAAGGCAGCAGGCGCGUAAAUUACCCAAUCCUGACUCAGGGAGGUAGUGACAAGAAAUAGCGGACAGAGGCCCUUGUGGCUUCUGGAUUGCAAUGAGCCGAAUUUACACCCCUUAGCGAAAAUCGAUUGGAGGGCAAGUCUGGU
Molecule: ribosomal RNA, 557 nt
Filed under: uncultured eukaryote
Lineage: Eukaryota
Description: SSU rRNA
Rfam family: Eukaryotic small subunit ribosomal RNA
Source: RNAcentral